UACGAAGGGGGCUAGCGUUGCUCGGAAUCACUGGGCGUAAAGCGCACGUAGGCGGCUUUUUAAGUCAGGGGUGAAAUCCUGGAGCUCAACUCCAGAACUGCCUUUGAUACUGGGAAGCUUGAGUCCGGGAGAGGUGAGUGGAACUCCGAGUGUAGAGGUGAAAUUCGUAGAUAUUCGGAAGAACACCAGUGGCGAAGGCGGCUCACUGGCCCGGUACUGACGCUGAGGUGCGAAAAGCGUGGGGGAGCAAAACAGG
Molecule: ribosomal RNA, 256 nt
Filed under: uncultured bacterium
Lineage: Bacteria
Description: partial 16S ribosomal RNA
Rfam family: Bacterial small subunit ribosomal RNA
Source: RNAcentral